RNAcentral lists this unclassified non-coding RNA (344 nucleotides) under soil metagenome. RNAcentral's name for it is "partial contains 5.8S ribosomal RNA, internal transcribed spacer 2, and large subunit ribosomal RNA". The stretch from base 1 to 120 matches the Rfam family "5.8S ribosomal RNA", at positions 35 to 154 of the family's 154-position model. The record is from RNAcentral.
GAUGAAGAACGUAGCGAAAUGCGAUAAGUAAUGUGAAUUGCAGAAUUCAGUGAAUCAUCGAGUCUUUGAACGCACAUUGCGCCCUCUGGUAUUCCGGAGGGCAUGCCUGUCCGAGCGUCAUUGCUGCCCUCAAGCACGGCUUGUGUGUUGGGCUCCGUCCCCCGAUCCCGGGGGACGGGCCCGAAAGGCAGCGGCGGCACCGCGUCCGGUCCUCGAGCGUAUGGGGCUUUGUCACCCGCUCUGUAGGCCCGGCCGGCGCUUGCCGAUCAACCAAAUUUUUAUCCAGGUUGACCUCGGAUCAGGUAGGGAUACCCGCUGAACUUAAGCAUAUCAAUAAGCGGAGA